AGACCCGAAACCCGGUGAUCUAGCCAUGGGCAGGUUGAAGGUUGGGUAACACUAACUGGAGGACCGAACCGACUAAUGUUGAAAAAUUAGCGGAUGACCUGUGGCUGGGGGUGAAAGGCCAAUCAAACCGGGAGAUAGCUGGUUCUCCCCGAAAGCUAUUUAGGUAGCGCCUCGUGAAUUCAUCUCCGGGGGUAGAGCACUGUUUCGGCUAGGGGGCCAUCCCGGCUUACCAACCCGAUGCAAACUGCGAAUACCGGAGAAUGUUAUCACGGGAGACACACGGCGGGUGCUAACGUCCGUCGUGAAGAGGGAAACAACCCAGACCGCCAGCUAAGGUCCCAAAGUCAUGGUUAAGUGGGAAACGAUGUGGGAAGGCCCAGACAGCCAGGAUGUUGGCUUAGAAGCAGCCAUCAUUUAAAGAAAGCGUAAUAGCUCACUGGUCGAGUCGGCCUGCGCGGAAGAUGUAACGGGGCUAAACCAUGCACCGAAGCUGCGGCAGCGACACUCAGGUGUUGUUGGGUAGGGGAGCGUUCUGUAAGCCUGUGAAGGUGGCCUGUGAGGGUUGCUGGAGGUAUCAGAAGUGCGAAUGCUGACAUAAGUAACGAUAAAGCGGGUGAAAAGCCCGCUCGCCGGAAGACCAAGGGUUCCUGUCCAACGUUAAUCGGGGCAGGGUGAGUCGACCCCUAAGGCGAGGCCGAAAGGCGUAGUCGAUGGGAAACGGGUUAAUAUUCCCGUACUUGGUGUUACUGCGAAGGGGGGACGGAGAAGGCUAUGUUGGCCGGGCGACGGUUGUCCCGGUUUAAGCGUGUAGGUGUGUGUUCCAGGUAAAUCCGGUUCACUUUAACACUGAGGCGUGAUGACGAGGCACUACGGUGCUGAAGCAACAAAUGCCCUGCUUCCAGGAAAAGCCUCUAAGCAUCAGGUAACAUCAAAUCGUACCCCAAACCGACACAGGUGGUCAGGUAGAGAAUACCAAGGCGCUUGAGAGAACUCGGGUGAAGGAACUAGGCAAAAUGGUGCCGUAACUUCGGGAGAAGGCACGCUGACACGUAGGUGAAGUGAUUUACUCAUGGAGCUGAAGUCAGUCGAAGAUACCAGCUGGCUGCAACUGUUUAUUAAAAACACAGCACUGUGCAAACACGAAAGUGGACGUAUACGGUGUGACGCCUGCCCGGUGCCGGAAGGUUAAUUGAUGGGGUCAGCGCAAGCGAAGCUCCUGAUCGAAGCCCCGGUAAACGGCGGCCGUAACUAUAACGGUCCUAAGGUAGCGAAAUUCCUUGUCGGGUAAGUUCCGACCUGCACGAAUGGCGUAAUGAUGGCCAGGCUGUCUCCACCCGAGACUCAGUGAAAUUGAACUCGCUGUGAAGAUGCAGUGUACCCGCGGCAAGACGGAAAGACCCCGUGAACCUUUACUAUAGCUUGACACUGAACAUUGAGCCUUGAUGUGUAGGAUAGGUGGGAGGCUUUGAAGCGUGGACGCCAGUCUGCGUGGAGCCGACCUUGAAAUACCACCCUUUAAUGUUUGAUGUUCUAACGUGGACCCGUUACCCGGGUUGCGGACAGUGUCUGGUGGGUAGUUUGACUGGGGCGGUCUCCUCCUAAAGAGUAACGGAGGAGCACGAAGGUUGGCUAAUCCUGGUCGGACAUCAGGAGGUUAGUGCAAUGGCAUAAGCCAGCUUGACUGCGAGCGUGACGGCGCGAGCAGGUGCGAAAGCAGGUCAUAGUGAUCCGGUGGUUCUGAAUGGAAGGGCCAUCGCUCAACGGAUAAAAGGUACUCCGGGGAUAACAGGCUGAUACCGCCCAAGAGUUCAUAUCGACGGCGGUGUUUGGCACCUCGAUGUCGGCUCAUCACAUCCUGGGGCUGAAGUAGGUCCCAAGGGUAUGGCUGUUCGCCAUUUAAAGUGGUACGCGAGCUGGGUUUAGAACGUCGUGAGACAGUUCGGUCCCUAUCUGCCGUGGGCGCUGGAGAACUGAGGGGGGCUGCUCCUAGUACGAGAGGACCGGAGUGGACGCAUCACUGGUGUUCGGGUUGUCAUGCCAAUGGCACUGCCCGGUAGCUAAAUGCGGAAGAGAUAAGUGCUGAAAGCAUCUAAGCACGAAACUUGCCCCGA
This 2111-nucleotide ribosomal RNA is filed under the name Salmonella enterica subsp. enterica serovar Guildford. Its description in RNAcentral is "partial 23S ribosomal RNA". It matches the Rfam family "Bacterial large subunit ribosomal RNA", at positions 711 to 2802 of the family's 2925-position model. Lineage: Bacteria; Pseudomonadati; Pseudomonadota; Gammaproteobacteria; Enterobacterales; Enterobacteriaceae. The record is from RNAcentral.